GAGGGAUGCCUCGAUGUGUUUAAGGAGAGGGGAGUCCUCGUCCGUCCUUCACAUCCAUCCAUCUGUCCUUCCCUUCCUUCUGUUGUUAUCCAUGUAGGUCACAUCCAUCCUUCCCCUCCAUCCAUCCUCAUCCACGUAACCUUCAUACCCAUUCCUCCCUGUCUGUCCUUCUCAUCCGUCUGUCCUUCCAACCUGUCUUUCCCAUCUACCUGCCCUUCCCACCCAUCCACCCUUCCCAUCCCUCUGUGCCCUUCCUGCCCACCCCUCCUUCCUUUCCACCCCUCCUUUCUGUCUGUCCUUUCCCUCCAUCUGUCCUUCCCCAUACACCGAAUUCCACAUCUCUUCCCUUUCCAUCCCACCUCACCUCUGUCCUUUCUGUUUCUCCUCCCUCUUCCCCCCACCUACAUGUCAUUUCUAUCCCCCUAUUCUUUCUGUCUGUCUGUCCUUUCUCUCCAUCCAUCCAUCCAUCCAUCCAUCCAUCCAUCCAUCCAUCCAUCCAUCCAUCCAUCCACUCAGCCCACUUGUCCGUCUGUCCUUCCAGUCCCUUUAUCCAUCUUCUCUUCCCAUCCAUCCCUCCUUAUCCUUCCAUCCAUCCCAUCAUUUUAUCCCUAUUAUCCAUCCAUCCUUCCCAUCCAUUUCUCCUUCCCAUCCAUCCAUUCCCUAUUAUCCCCAUCCUUCCCACUCCAUCCAUCUAUUCUGGUUAUCGGGGGGCAGUGGGGCUGAUCCUACCCAUCCCAUUGCCCUCCCUCCCAUUUCCCCAUCCCCUUUUCCCCCCUCCCAUCCCUUUCACCACCAUCAAGGUCACGGACACCCCACAGCAGAGACCCCUACUCACCCCAUUACCCCCCCUAUUGCUGCCAUAAUGGGAACCGACCCCCAUAAUGGCACACGGGUGACACCGCAGACCCCGGGUUGACGCCAUAGGGUGACACCACGCUGCCAUAUCCCAAUGCUGGCAGCAGCCCUGCUUGCACAGCAGUGAUUUAUGGGCUCCUGGCAGCCCCCCGCCCGCCGUCAGCCUUUGUCUGAGCGCAGCUCUGCGGUCCUUUGUCCUCACGGUGCUUUGUCACCGCUGUGAUUUCCCUCUUCCUGGAUUUGGGGACACUGUGGGGACAUUGAUGGGUGUGGGGUGGUGGCAGCAGGGCUGGAAGGUGUUGGGAUGUCAGCAGGAUGCAGCCCUGACACUGUGGUGAGGGGCAACGUCACCCCCAGCCCUGCAUCCAUCCCCAUGGGAUCCACCGGGGAUAGGAUCUGUUGGGAUGGG
Molecule: long non-coding RNA, 1264 nt
Filed under: Coturnix japonica (Japanese quail)
Lineage: Eukaryota; Metazoa; Chordata; Aves; Galliformes; Phasianidae
Description: lncRNA (ENSCJPG00005007706.1)
Source: RNAcentral